RNAcentral lists this transfer RNA (65 nucleotides) under Dipodomys ordii (Ord's kangaroo rat). It matches the Rfam family "tRNA". Rfam says of the family: Transfer RNA (tRNA) molecules are approximately 80 nucleotides in length. Their secondary structure includes four short double-helical elements and three loops (D, anti-codon, and T loops). The record is from Rfam by way of RNAcentral. Lineage: Eukaryota; Metazoa; Chordata; Mammalia; Rodentia; Heteromyidae.
GGUGGCUCAGUGGUAGAGCGCUUGCCUAGCAUGCAUGAAGUCCUGGGUUGGAUUCCCCAGUACCA